AUUUGCAGAGGAUGCUUUUGGUGAGGUGCCUUCCAAGUUCCCUAGAACGGGACGCCAGAGAGGGUGAGAGCCCCGUACAGUUGGACACCAAGCCUUUGUAAAGCUCCUUCGACGAGUCGAGUAGUUUGGGAAUGCUGCUCAAAAUGGGAGGUAUAUUUCUUCUAAAGCUAAAUACCGGCCAGAGACCGAUAGCGCACAAGUAGAGUGAUCGAAAGAUGAAAAGCACUUUGAAAAGAGGGUUAAACAGCACGUGAAAUUGUUAAAAGGGAAGCGCUUGUGACCAGACUUGCGUCCGGUGAAUCACCCAGCUCUCGCGGCUGGGGCACUUCGCCGGCUCAGGCCAGCAUCAGCUCGCUGUCGGGGACAAAAGCUUCAGGAACGUAGCUCUCUUCGGGGAGUGUUAUAGCCUGUUGCAUAAUACCCUUCGGCGGGCUGAGGUACGCGCUCCGCAAGGAUGCUGGCAUAAUGGUCAUCAGCGACCCGUCUUGAA
Molecule: ribosomal RNA, 490 nt
Filed under: fungal endophyte sp. DM153
Lineage: Eukaryota; Fungi
Description: eukaryotic LSU rRNA
Rfam family: Eukaryotic large subunit ribosomal RNA
Source: RNAcentral